Molecule: long non-coding RNA, 5981 nt
Filed under: Sus scrofa (pig)
Lineage: Eukaryota; Metazoa; Chordata; Mammalia; Artiodactyla; Suidae
Description: lncRNA (ENSSSCG00035004804.1)
Source: RNAcentral
GGAAAGGGUGUGGCAGAGUGCCAGGUGUAGGAUUGACUAAUUUGGAUAACUCAGCAGAUGCAAAGGCAAAGGGGCUGACCUUAGUGGUCUGGGACCUGGCUCCAGGGCGGUUCGGGCAGGUGCACAGUGGCCUGGAGUGUGAGAGAGGGUAAGGGGAGGUGACUGGGAGUGUGGACUCACUGACUUACUGACUGCUAAUGAAGGGGAACUGACCGGCCUUUGGCCAAGGCCUCAAAACUAGGUCAAGACAGCACCAAAAAAACUAUAGUACAGUGCAGAUACCAAAAUACGGGGGGCCUUGUGCCUGCUACAAUUCUUCCAGCAAUUGAAGCCUUAUUAUGUCUAGAAAGAGUGAAACUAGUGGGAUAUUAGACUGAAGUUUGUGUUUGUUUAGACAGAGAGAUUCUGAAUUUGUUUCUUCAUUGGUUCUUACAAGAGACGGAGGGAGACACUGGAUGUCAGGCAGGCUAUGAAUGGGGCACUAACAUUCUUUAUUCAGUUGAUACUUUUCAGUGAAGGCUUCCAAGUAAUUUAGUCAUUUUUCUUUUACGAAAAAUUUCAUCCUUCUUUCUUUGUGUUCACAAUAAGCAUUUAACACGUACACUGUCUGUAAAAUAGCAUUUACUUAUUUGGAAAACUUGCAUUUCCCUCUCACAUUUUGCUACCAGUCCUUACUAACUAGAAUGAGUUGUUCACAUUCAGUAGGAAUAGCUUACAAGGAAAGUCUUAUUCACAUAUGUACAUUUUUAUGUCAGUAAAAUAUUUCCUCCUUUUUUUUGUAGCUUUCCUUUGCAGUUUCUUUUGUGAUUUCAGAAAUAUGCAACACCUGUUGACACAUAUUAAAUGUUUUAAAAUUUAAGUAGUCAGAUAAACCACUUGUCGUCCCCCCCCACACACACACACACAAAAAACAGCAUUACACUAUGCUUUAUUCGGUCUUGGAAUUUCAUUUGAAUAUAACUAAAAACUAUCAGUGGCUGUCAACUUACUGAUCCUGGGGCUGGGGCAAGGCUUGUAGUAAUAAUACUCUGUAACAUACACGUGCACUCCCAAAGCAUGCUAUACGGAUGGGUUAAUGACAGCAAGAAGAGUGCUUUUCAAAAAAAAUUCAUAUGAAGACACUUUCUACUUCAGUUGGAGAUUUGCUGGUGAUAUUAGAAGUUGCUGUGGAAACCAGAAUUAGUUGGCACUUAUAUUUUUGAUUUGUUUUAGUGAUAUUGUCAUGUCCCUCCUAGAUUAUCGCCCAGCACGAGCCACGUUCUAGGGAGCCCUGAGAUUCUUCUGAACUACUUUAGACAUUCCUCUGGAUCACGUUAAAGCAACCUCAAUAAGAAGAUAAUAGUUGAGGUGCCCUGAGGGUUGGCCAUUCUAGAGGAGAGAGGGGAAGGGUCAGGCUGUCCCUAAAGCAACUCUGGUCCACGAGGGGCAGCCCACCCAGGGCCAGCCCACACACCUCCCUCCCAGUAAUCACCCAGCCACAGAGCACUGGAGUUGUGUGCAGUGUUUGGAGGAAACAGUUCUGUGGCUUAAAGGUUUACAAAAACACGGUUCUACCAUGGCUUAUGCGAAAAGAAACUAAGAAUAAGAACAAUACUGAAUUUGAACUACUAAUUCCUUAAGACCUGGGAACAUCCUGUGCUCUCAUAGUUAUAAUUUAAUCCAAAUACAUUGGACCCAUGCUGUAAUUCAAUUCUAGGCAAAGAGCACAGUUUUGUACACGGCAGAUUCAUUCUGGGGCGCUCUCCAGGGACUCGGUUACAGAAAAAUUCAAAGGCCUUCUUUGGGCUCUUUCACCCGUAUGUCUCCCCCACCCGCAUGGCCCAGAUUUGAGAGACAGCACUGCAGCAGGGGCCUCUCUAUGCCAGGAAAUACCACUUUAUCUUCCAAGACACGUUUGAAUUGCAUCCUUUAUCUCAUGUGCACCCAUGUUAUAUUUGGCCAAAUCCUGUAGCUUGGUUCUCAAACUGGGGUUCCAUCUCGGCCCCCUAAUUUGUUGUCGUCAACACAGUGGAUUUUAAUGCCUUCAGAAAGGGUAUGCUGUAUGUACCACUCAGCUCCAGGGGGGCACCAUUUGUAUUGCGAUCAUAUUGUGUUCUAGGGAUCUGUGCCCCCCUCCCAAUGCAGUGACUUGGAGUAAGGCCCUCUCCAGCUUCCACUGCAUCCAAGUCUGGGUUGCGUCUGGGUUUCAUCUGGGUUUGAGAUCUCUGCUAUGUGACUGCCUUGUUUCCACGAGUCCAUAGAGCACUUGGCGUGGAGCCAGAAGAUGGAGGUUGGGUCUUUGCAUUUCCUGAUUCACGUGUUAAUUAAUUAUCAUCAACUCAGUUAACCUUGUGGAAUUUCAGUUAAUUCACUUAUCAAUGGGACCAAUAAUGUCUAUUUCACACAGGUUGUGGAAAUCAUUUAUACCCUGCUUUUAUUCCGAAAAGGAUCCAUAUGUUUGUAUAAAAUAUAGCAAGAUGACAUGAAUGAAAAGUGGCUGAGAAAGAAAAAGAAGGGGGAAAAAGUAUAAAAUGGGGCCAGGAUGUACCUUCUUUCCAGAUCUGCCUGCUUCCUAGGAGGAGGCCACAGACUUUCUUCUGUCCUUCCAGGUAGCCAAGGAGAAAAUGGAAACUAGGUCAUUUUCUUUCAUCACAGUGUCCAAAAGAUCCACAGGCUGGUGUCUAGGCAAAAGUAUUCCUCUUCCAAAUACCUUCACUGAAGGAGACUGCUCUCAAGGGUCUGCUUGGAGGGGCCACUACAGAAGGCAACCAGCAAUAUCUGCCACAGAGAGAGGCUGCAAAAGGCAGCCCACAAAUGUCAGCAUUUGUAGGGGCUUUGUUUUGGUUUGGUUUGAUUCGAUGUCUAAAAAACUUGACUCCAUAGUUUAAAAAAAAAUCAGUCAACAUUAGGAGUUCCUGUUGUGGCUUAGUGGGAUAUGAACCCCACUAGUAUUGUGAGGAUGCAGGUUCAAUCCCUGGCCUCGCUCAUGGGUUAAGGAUCCGGCGUUGCCAUGAGAUGCGGCUCAGAUCCCAAGUUGCUAUGGCUGUGGCUGUGGCGUAGGCCAGCAGCUACAGCUCCAAUUCGACCCCUAGCCUGGGAACCUCCAUAUGCCGCAGGAGCGGCCCUGGAAAAGGCAAAAAAUAAAAAUUAAAAAAUAAGUAAAAAAAUAAAGUUGCCAUUUCUAAAAAAUAAAAAAAAAAAUUCAAAUUUAGGAGAGUUCUAGAGACACUUGCUUGUAGAAUUUUCUUUUAUAAGUAACUGGAACCUAGCUCAAGUUAGCCAAGAAAAACUGGACAUUUUUUUGGCUCACGUAGCACAUGGCUGAAGGUCAAAUAUGCCAGCCACAGCUGGAUCCAGGGUUCCUCUUGUUAUGUGUCUGUCCUCUCCCCCAGCCCUAUUUCCCACUGUGUUGGCUUCCUCCUCAGGUGGGUCCUCUCCCUGUGGUGGCAUCAGUGACCUGGGGCCCCGUCCUUAAUAUCUGCAAGGGAUGCUCUCCCCCAGGGGAGUAGGGAUGCCUGGGGUAGGGAUGCUCACUGAUGGCCUGAAGCCCUGAGGGUGGGAGAGGACCCAGCUCUCAAACAGAGAAGAUUCUGGCUGGAUUAAUCUGUAAGACAUGCUAUAGUCUUGCCCUUCCAAAUUUCUGAGAUAAGGCAAUGUAUCUGUCCUUUUUUAACUUCUAUGGUUUUGUAAUUGACAGUUCAGGGAAGGUUCAAAUGAGUUCAUCUUAAUCAUACUCUAAGAGAUUCUUUCUUAAGGUUGCUAGACUCUUUUGGAAAGCCAGCUGGCCUCACGCUGGCCUCACGCUGGCCUCACCUCUGCAGGUGUCUCUCUGCAGCCCCUUCAAGUUACACAGCCUUGUCACCGGUGGCAGAUGUGCCUCCUGCUUCUUUGCUACCUGCCAGCUGUCUCCAGGGAUGGCCUGCAUCUCUGUCCUCCUCUCCUUUCUCCGCUCCCUUCUGCACACCUAGAGUAGCCCCUCCCAUGUGGGUAUAGGUGCCUGAGCCCUCACCUGAACAUCUUGGAGUCUGAGAUAGCUCUCAUUUAGAAAGGUCACACUGUGCAGAUACUGUAUGUAGACACUCCUAGCAGGUGCAGUGGCCAGAUUCCCACUCAUUCACAUUUCUGCUGGGCAACACGUGAAUGUUGACCCUAAGUAGGAAUAAAGAAAGUCUACAGCAGCCUGGCAUCAGUUCAGGCCAGGUUUGGCCACCAAAUACAUUAUGCAAGAUUUGUUUUCAGGGCUCGUUGUGUUUCAGAAUUGGGAACAAGAGGGCUGGACCUGUAUUUACUUGUACAGAUAGCUUGUAUAGUAGGUGCUUAUGAAUCCCUGUUGGAAUCUCAGUACCUCUGACUGGUCCCCAUGAAAUGUAAAACCUAAGAAACCUUUUAACUUACAGCAGUACUUUCCAGUUUUUCAAGUAUAUGAGUGUAUCUGUGGGGGUGGAUAACUAUGAAAAGGAAUGGAUUUUGUGUCAGUGUCUUCAUCUUGAGAGGGUCCUGGUAGGCAAAGAGUUAGAAAGCCACUAGACCUGACAUUAAAUUUUUCAUUUAUUAACUUCUUUAAAGGACCACUUACCAUCUGGUGGGGAGGAAAGCAACCUCACAAACAAUGCUUAUUACCAAGUGAAAUGAGGGCAAGGUGAAAGUUGUUUGUAACUUUCUAGUUCAACCUUGGGGGUUUUCACAAAAGGAUUUGUCACAUCUUUUGUCUUUGAGCACAGAAAUUCGACAACACUCUUACCAGAAGUGGAAGCAUUUCAAGCACCCCAAAAUAAAUUAGCUUACCACUUGGAACCCUGAAGUUCAAGAGAAUUUCCAAGUUUAUAAUGCUUGGUCUCGCCCAGGGAGAUGAGGAGGGCAGACUUGAUUCCAGCUUUGCUAAUGUUCCUGCCAGCUUUUGUCAACCAUUUACCAUCACGAUGUCUCCAUUAUCCCAUCUGUCAGCGAAGAGUCUUUGCUGUAUUUCAACAUGUCAUGUUUUCAAGAACUUCUCAACGCUACCUUCUGGUGCCUGGCAACUGUCAUGGAUGAAUUUGCUGCACCUCUUUCUGAUGCCUGCCAGGAGGGAGCUGGAGGAAGGGUUUAGAGCAUCUUCUAGUAAAUCCAGCUGAUCACAUAUCUGCUGCCGUGGAGGUGGGAGAAUGGAAUUGGGGGCAGCUGUCUUAUUAGCACGGUGGAGAUUGACUUUUCAGAUAUUCUGUAUAAAGACUUUAGGGUUGGCAGAGUGUGUAGGAAAUGUCCUGAUCUGGAAAAGACUCUUUGGAUUGAUAAAAACUAGGCCUGUUUUUUUAAAAAUUGGGUUGGGUAGGAUGGUGGCACAGGCUUCAGCAUCUUUGUGUAAAGGAGGCAUCAGAAAACUGGCACACCAAGGAGAUUUGGCAGCACAGCAGCAUUUCGGGCACAAGCCCAUUGACCCCAUGUUUUGUCUCCACUUCAUGGAGAACCUGCCACCUGGUUCAGCCACAGGCCUGGUGAUUCAGAUGGAGCAUUUCCUGCUGGGUGCUGGUCCAUGUACUGCAGGGCAGAGAAGACCUUUUGGGGGCCACCUGCCUGUACAAAGCCUCCCUUUCAGAUUCAACCACAGCUCCAGUUUCUUUCCUUCCUAUAGCUUCCCCUGAUGACUCCAGCCCACACUGAUCUUUUCCUUCUCUGAAUUUCAGUCAUGCUACUUGGAGGCGGGAGGCAGAAUGGGGAGUGCGUCUCUUCCUGCUGUCCUGCUUAUCAAUGUUAUGUAACAGACUACCCCAAAAUUUAGUUCCUUAAAACAGUAAACAUUUUAUCAUACCUCCUGGUUUUGUGGAUCAGGAAUUUGGGCAGAGCUCAGCUAGGAGUUUCUUUUGCUCCUUAUGGACCUUAAUUGAAACCCAUGGUUUCAGUUGGCAGGUAGGUGAUCUACAGGAUGCUGGAUGGAUUCACUCACUUACCUGGCUUCUUGGUGGGGCCAGCUGGAAGGUGUGCUCAGCUAAAAUGUUCCUGAACCACCUACAUUGUUUGGUCUCAUU